GCCGACUUAGCUCAGGGGUAGAGCAGUUCCCUCGUAAAGAACAGGUCCGGGGUUCGAAUCCCCGAGUCGGCUCCA
This 75-nucleotide transfer RNA is filed under the name Leucobacter ruminantium. Its description in RNAcentral is "tRNA-Thr". It matches the Rfam family "tRNA". Rfam says of the family: Transfer RNA (tRNA) molecules are approximately 80 nucleotides in length. The record is from RNAcentral. Lineage: Bacteria; Bacillati; Actinomycetota; Actinomycetes; Micrococcales; Microbacteriaceae.